GAUGAACGCUGGCGGCGUGCCUAACACAUGCAAGUCGAGCGAUCUCUUCGGAGAGAGCGGCGGACGGGUGAGUAACGCGUGGGUAACCUGCCCUGUACACACGGAUAACAUACCGAAAGGUAUGCUAAUACGGGAUAAUAUAUAAAAGUCGCAUGGCUUUUAUAUCAAAGCUUUUGCGGUACAGGAUGGACCCGCGUCUGAUUAGCUAGUUGGUAAGGUAACGGCUUACCAAGGCGACGAUCAGUAGCCGACCUGAGAGGGUGAUCGGCCACACUGGAACUGAGACACGGUCCAGACUCCUACGGGAGGCAGCAGUGGGGAAUAUUGCACAAUGGGCGAAAGCCUGAUGCAGCAACGCCGCGUGAGCGAUGAAGGCCUUCGGGUCGUAAAGCUCUGUCCUCAAGGAAGAUUAUGACGGUACUUGAGGAGGAAGCCCCGGCUAGCUACGUGCCAGCCGCCGCCGUAA
Molecule: ribosomal RNA, 466 nt
Filed under: uncultured bacterium
Lineage: Bacteria
Description: partial 16S ribosomal RNA
Rfam family: Bacterial small subunit ribosomal RNA
Source: RNAcentral